AGCGAACGCUGGCGGCAGGCUUAACACAUGCAAGUCGAGCGGGCACCUUCGGGUGUCAGCGGCAGACGGGUGAGUAACACGUGGGAACGUGCCCUUUGGUUCGGGACAACUCCGGGAAACUGGAGCUAAUACCGGAUAAGCCCUUCGGGGAAGGAUUAUUGCCAAGGAUCGGCCCGCGUCUGAUUAGCUAGUUGGUGAGGUAAUGGCUCACCAAGGCGACGAUCAGUAGCUGGCUGAGAGGAUGAUCAGCCACCACUGGGACUGAGACACGGCCCAGACUCCUACGGGAGGC
RNAcentral lists this ribosomal RNA (292 nucleotides) under uncultured bacterium. RNAcentral describes it as "partial 16S ribosomal RNA". It matches the Rfam family "Bacterial small subunit ribosomal RNA", at positions 29 to 349 of the family's 1533-position model. The record is from RNAcentral.